UACGUAGGGCGCAAGCGUUGUCCGGAAUUAUUGGGCGUAAAGAGCUCGUAGGCGGUUUGUCGCGUCUGCUGUGAAAACCUAAGGCUCAACCUUGGGCUUGCAGUGGGUACGGGCAGACUAGAGUGCAGUAGGGGAGACUGGAAUUCCUGGUGUAGCGGUGAAAUGCGCAGAUAUCAGGAGGAACACCGAUGGCGAAGGCAGGUCUCUGGGCUGUAACUGACGCUGAGGAGCGAAAGCAUGGGGAGCGAACAGG
RNAcentral lists this ribosomal RNA (253 nucleotides) under uncultured bacterium. RNAcentral describes it as "partial 16S ribosomal RNA". It matches the Rfam family "Bacterial small subunit ribosomal RNA", at positions 524 to 776 of the family's 1533-position model. The record is from RNAcentral.